RNAcentral lists this ribosomal RNA (427 nucleotides) under uncultured bacterium. Its description in RNAcentral is "partial 16S ribosomal RNA". It matches the Rfam family "Bacterial small subunit ribosomal RNA", at positions 355 to 774 of the family's 1533-position model. The record is from RNAcentral.
UGGGGAAUAUUGCACAAUGGGCGCAAGCCUGAUGCAGCCAUGCCGCGUGUGUGAAGAAGGCCUUCGGGUUGUAAAGCACUUUCAGCGAGGAGGAAGGGUAGUGUGUUAAUAGCACAUUGCAUUGACGUUACUCGCAGAAGAAGCACCGGCUAACUCCGUGCCAGCAGCCGCGGUAAUACGGAGGGUGCAAGCGUUAAUCGGAAUUACUGGGCGUAAAGCGCACGCAGGCGGUUUGUUAAGUCAGAUGUGAAAUCCCCGCGCUUAACGUGGGAACUGCAUUUGAAACUGGCAAGCUAGAGUCUUGUAGAGGGGGGUAGGAUUCCAGGUGUAGCGGUGAAAUGCGUAGAGAUCUGGAGGAAUACCGGUGGCGAAGGCGGCCCCCUGGACAAAGACUGACGCUCAGGUGCGAAAGCGUGGGGAGCAAACA